AAUCCAAAUUAUCAAAAUUACUUUGCUCAUCCUCCUCCAAGUCAAAGUCAACCACUAAUAAAGAAAAAAAGAAGUCUUCCAGGCAACCCAGAUCCAGAAGCAGAAGUGAUAUCCUUAUCACCCAAGACAUUAAUGGCAACAAACAGAUUUGUGUGUGAGAUGUGUAACAAAGGGUUUCAAAGAGAUCA
Molecule: long non-coding RNA, 188 nt
Organism: Helianthus annuus (common sunflower)
Lineage: Eukaryota; Viridiplantae; Streptophyta; Magnoliopsida; Asterales; Asteraceae
Exons: 2
Source: RefSeq, a predicted model, not a curated record